AUACGUAGGGAGCGAGCGUUGUCCGGAAUUACUGGGUGUAAAGGGAGCGUAGGCGGGACUGCAAGUCAGAUGUGAAAUACCGGGGCUUAACCCCGGAGCUGCAUUUGAAACUGUGGUUCUUGAGUGAAGUAGAGGCAAGCGGAAUUCCUGGUGUAGCGGUGAAAUGCGUAGAUAUCAGGAGGAACACCGGUGGCGAAGGCGGCUUGCUGGGCUUUUACUGACGCUGAGGCUCGAAAGCGUGGGUAGCAAACAGGAUUAGAUACCCUGGUAGUCCACGCUGUAAACGAUGAUUGCUAGGUGUGGGGGGUCUGACCCCUUCCGUGCCGCAGUUAACGCAAUAAGCAAUCCACCUGGGGAGUACGGCCGCAAGGCUAAAACUCAAAUGAAUUGACGGGG
RNAcentral lists this ribosomal RNA (396 nucleotides) under uncultured bacterium. RNAcentral describes it as "partial 16S ribosomal RNA". It matches the Rfam family "Bacterial small subunit ribosomal RNA", at positions 523 to 918 of the family's 1533-position model. The record is from RNAcentral.